Molecule: transfer RNA, 69 nt
Filed under: Canis lupus familiaris (dog)
Lineage: Eukaryota; Metazoa; Chordata; Mammalia; Carnivora; Canidae
Also listed under: 1 other name
Rfam family: tRNA
About the family: Transfer RNA (tRNA) molecules are approximately 80 nucleotides in length. Their secondary structure includes four short double-helical elements and three loops (D, anti-codon, and T loops).
Source: Rfam by way of RNAcentral
GCCCGGUUGGCUCAGUGGUUGAGCAUCUGCCUUGGCUCAGGGUCCUGGGAUCGAGUCCCACAUCGGGCU